RNAcentral lists this ribosomal RNA (611 nucleotides) under Cylindera belli. RNAcentral's name for it is "partial 16S ribosomal RNA". It matches the Rfam family "Bacterial large subunit ribosomal RNA", at positions 1844 to 2739 of the family's 2925-position model. Lineage: Eukaryota; Metazoa; Arthropoda; Insecta; Coleoptera; Carabidae. The record is from RNAcentral.
UUUAAGGUCUAACCUGCCCAAUGAGGGAUUAAAUGGCCGCAGUAUUUUGACUGUGCAAAGGUAGCAUAAUUAUUAGUUUUUUAAUUGAAAGCUUGUAUGAAGGGUUGGACGAGAUAAAAUCUGUCUUUAUUUAAAUUAUAAUAGAAUUUAACUUUUAAGUCAAAAGGCUUAAAUUUUUAUAAAAGACGAGAAGACCCUAUAGAUCUUUAUUUAGUUAAGAUUUUAAUAAUUUAGGAUUAUUUUAAUUUAAAGUUUUAAUUAAAUUUUAUUGGGGUAAUAUAAAGAUUAAAAUAAUUCUUUUUAUUUUUUACAUUGAUUUAUGAAUUUAUGAUCCGAUAUUAUUGAUUAUAAGAUUAAGUUACCUUAGGGAUAACAGCGUNAUUUUUUUGGAGAGCUCAUAUCGAUAAAAAAGUUUGCGACCUCGAUGUUGGAUUAAAAAUUAGCUUGGGUGCAGAAGCUCAAGAUUUUGGUCUGUUCNACCAUUAAAUUUUUACAUGAUCUGAGUUCAGACCGGCGUAAGCCAGGUCGGUUUCUAUCUUUAUUUAAUUAAAAUAUUUUAGUACGAAAGGACCAAAUAUUUAAUAUAGUAUAUUUAUUUUUUGAAUAAUAUU